This 222-nucleotide long non-coding RNA is filed under the name Lathyrus oleraceus (garden pea). RNAcentral describes it as "Pisum sativum (pea) long non-coding RNA (PSAT_LNC014852)". The record is from RNAcentral. Lineage: Eukaryota; Viridiplantae; Streptophyta; Magnoliopsida; Fabales; Fabaceae.
UUAAAACAAAAAAAGGAAUACUAGGGGUUUAGGCUCAGAUUUCGUGCUGUUACCCUCGUAACUGUUGUUCAAUAGAAAACGGGGGUAUUUCUUUUGGACACCAUUCUUGUUGAGAUUCAUUGGCUCAUAUAUUUUCUUUUAUUUCUCUUUUGAGCACACUUUUUUCCAAUCUUAAUACUUCUAGAUAAGUGCUUCAUGAUCUUUUUUUUUUCUUUUCUUUUC